This is a non-coding RNA of Nylanderia fulva, 992 nucleotides long. The record is from RefSeq and is a predicted model, not a curated record. NCBI's taxonomy places the organism in Eukaryota, Metazoa, Arthropoda, Insecta, Hymenoptera, Formicidae.
UGUAUUAUCGCAUUUUUAAUUAUCACAAUGGAUAUUGACGUUACUAAGCGGUUUGUCGUUUUGAAAUUUAUAAAUGAAGAUGUUGAUUGCGACGAGGAAGACGAUUCUUUAUUUGAAGUUGGUCUUAUUAAAUGGCUAAAACAAUUAGAUGAAGAAACAAAUGCAAAAAUUUCUUGGCCUCCUAAAUCUGAGCAGAGUACUGCAAUUAAAAAGAAAUAGAUGCACUUCCUUCAUGGCCGAUAUAUAAUGUUACUGUUUUAAAAUGUUAUGAUACACUUUUGGCUGCACGAAAUGCACGAAAUGGAUAUAUUAUGUCGUCUAAUUAUGAAACAGAGUGUGAAUUUGGUCGUGGUAAACGUAAAAAAAUUAAGCGGCAGUUUGCAUGUGAUGAAUCUCUCUCGACAGAAGUGACAAAAAAAAAGAAAUUUAAAAAUAUUUCAACUUCUGAUGAUUCAGAUUUUGAUAGAGAUGAUAGUGCUAUAAAAAAUAUAAAUUUAAACAUGCUCCUUCUCCGCCACUUAUCUUGUUUCGAUCAGAAAAUAAUAAAGUAAAACAAUAUCAAAACAAUAUUAUCACAGAUAGCAAAACAAAAAAAUUUGAAAGAUUACAGAAAAAUAAACAAUUAGAAAAAAAAAUGACGCAAUGUUGACAUUUUCUAAAAAUCAUAAAUCUAAAAAGGAUCUCUUACUUACAAAAAUAUGUCAAGCAAGGAAGAUAACUUCAGUUACGGAUAACAAAACAAAAAUCAUAGAGAUUGCAAGAGAAAAACAGAAAUGUUUAAUAGAAGAUAAUAUGGAUUCUGAUAAUGCUACAGAAGAAAUAUUGAUCCUAAUAUUCCACGAGAGGACGAUUUUUCAAUGAAAGUUCAGGAUAUGUCAUCAAAUAAAGAUGUAUCUCCAAGUACAAGUGCAAGAUCGAUAAAUAUAGAGACACCAGAAUUACGUCAAAAGAGUCCAGUUACUUCACAUGUGACAGCUGUAACUACACCGAGU